This is a long non-coding RNA of Olea europaea var. sylvestris, 2127 nucleotides long. RefSeq lists it as uncharacterized. NCBI's taxonomy places the organism in Eukaryota, Viridiplantae, Streptophyta, Magnoliopsida, Lamiales, Oleaceae. The record is from RefSeq and is a predicted model, not a curated record. The transcript is spliced from 2 exons.
UCCAACUGCGCCUUAUCCUCCUCUUUCCUUUUCCUGCGGCUGUCGUUUUCUUUCACUUCACUUUCUUAUCUCGUUUUAUCUCAGGUCGAGAAUCGAAUUCCAUUUCUACACAAUAAUAUUCAUCCUUAUCAUUAUAUCUCUCUCCGAUCUGCUGCUUCAUGUUUCACAAAUUGAAUAAAAAUUGCUAUUUGUGAAAUCUUAAUUCCUUGGCGACGGUUUUGCUCGAUAAGAUGUUUUCUGCGGUAAUUUAUGAAGGGUUUGGCUAUCUGAAUGAAUUGAUGGAUAAGUUGGAACACUAAAGCUCUGAUGCGCAAAUUAUUGGAAACUGAUGAGGUAAGGAAGCUCGUUUUCAAAUUUUGUACUAUUUUUGCAAGCGGUGCUUUUAUGAUUUAUAGUGGGAUGGAAUCCUAUUUAGAGGAGUUUGAUUACCUAUUUGAAGGUCUAGGGGAGCAGAUUAGUGUGCUCAAUUUGGUGGAAAGGCUUGAUGGGAUAGGUGAAAGAUUGCAAAUGAUUUUGAAUUUGGAUGAAACCGAUGAAGAGAGAAUAGUUGAAUUAUUGGGAAUUGAAUCAAAUAAAAAGAAGUUGAAGCAUUGGCGAUUCCAAUAUUUGGUAUGGGAGGAAUAGGAAAAAAAAGUGAUUUGGAUUUAAUACUUUUAAGUUGACAAAAGUUCUAGUAUGUUUAGAUGAUGUUUGGAAAGAAAAAUGAAGAGAUUUGGAUAUACUAUGAACUUUGUCAUAUCUGUUAGUCCUAAAGAAUGGGAAGAUGUGUCAAAAGUAUGAAGAAUGGUAGUAUUCUUUUAAUAUUAAAAUUCAGCUACCAAUAUCUUCCUCCUCAAUUGCAAAAAAUAUAUUUGCUUACUAAUUUAUUUUUCCCAAGGACUAUGAGUUUGAUAAAUCCAAUCUAGUAUAUUGUUGGUAAGUUAAACGGUAACCUGCUUUAAGAAGGAAUCCAUUGCAAAGAUGUGGUUUGUAUGGGAUGGCUAUGAUGGUCACAGAAACUUUGAAAUUGAGGUUUUAUGCAAAUGGAAGAAUUAGAUGGUGAUUAUUUUUAGAUAAACUCUUGGCAAGAUUAUUCAUCCAAUGGUCAAGUGGCAAAUAUUCAUUUUUGGGAUGCACAACAUCCUUCAUGAUUGGAUAUAUGUUGAAAAAUAUUUCUAUAAUGGUCCAUCACUUGUCAUUCAUUGAUUUAUAUAUGUGACUAGCGGUCUAAUCUUAUGACCUUUCGCCACUACCCAUUUUGAAGAAGUACGUUGUUCAGCCAUUCUUCUUUUAUUAAGGAGCUUUGCCUGAGUUAUUGCCAAAAUUAUACUGUAUUAAAAAUGCUAUCAUUAAUUGGCUAUGAUUCAAUAUAUGAGCUUCCAAGUUUUGUUGGUGGUUAUGAGACAUUUGGAGCACGAGCUAAAUGAUCCUCAAAAUGUUUCUGAUGCACUAAAGCCCCAUGAAAAUUUAUCAAGUCUUGAAAUUGAUUUUUAGGGGGAUUAAAAUUAUCUGUUUUAUUGGGAAUUUAUCGUUAUCCAAGUUAACAAACAAGUUUUAAUGGUUGUAAUAAGUGCACGAGUUUUCCACAUUAGGGAAACUAGCUUUACCCAAAGACUUGAACAUAUGACAUGCUAAGGAGAGUUUAGCAGUUGUCAAAAGGUGUCCUCAGCUUGGUGUUCUUCCUGCUAUUAGUUUUCUUCAUAUAGAGGAUUGUGAAGCUCUGGAGUUCAUUUGUAUAUCAGCAAUUGAUGGGAAAAUCUAAUAAAGCUUGCUUCUGAGAAUUCAGAGGCCUUGAAUUCUGAUCGAACGGAAGAUCGCCUUCUAGCUGCUGUGCCCAGAACAGAAACUUGGUUGUGUCCCUGCGCACAUCUUUCUUCCUCUUUUUAAGUUUUUUUUAGCCAAGCAAGAGAGGUCACGAGGUCUUGGCUCGGCUGAUUUAGCACAUUCUGAACAUUUUGGUAACAAUGCUUUUGAUAUAUCGUCAAUGUCGUUUUCCUGGUUUGGUCAUCCAAGUCUCUCAUCUCAUUUGUUCGGAUCCUCGUAAAGGCAUUCUCCUUAUUUGGCACAGCUUGUUGUAUAACUUUAGUAGUUACCCUGUGGGACAACUAGGAUAAAGGUGAAUGGGAAGAUGGUAUGUUGGAGCCAGAA